CAGCCGCCGCGGUAAUACGGAGGGUGCAAGCGUUGUCCGGAUUUAUUGGGUUUAAAGGGUGCGUAGGCGGCUAUUUAAGUCAGCGGUGAAAGACUCCGGCUCAACCGGAGCAGUGCCAUUGAUACUGGAUAGCUUGAGUGUUGGAGGGGUACAUGGAAUUGAUGGUGUAGCGGUGAAAUGCAUAGAUACCAUCAGGAACACCGAUAGCGAAGGCAUUGUACUGGCCAACAACUGACGCUGAGGCACGAAAGCAUGGGGAGCGAACAGGAUUAGAUACCCGAGUAGUCCCUGUCUCUUAUAC
RNAcentral lists this ribosomal RNA (301 nucleotides) under uncultured bacterium. RNAcentral's name for it is "partial 16S ribosomal RNA". It matches the Rfam family "Bacterial small subunit ribosomal RNA", at positions 509 to 807 of the family's 1533-position model. The record is from RNAcentral.